Molecule: ribosomal RNA, 403 nt
Filed under: Verrucomicrobiota bacterium
Lineage: Bacteria; Pseudomonadati; Verrucomicrobiota
Description: Verrucomicrobia bacterium partial 16S ribosomal RNA
Rfam family: Bacterial small subunit ribosomal RNA
Source: RNAcentral
UGGGGAAUAUUGCACAAUGGGCGCAAGCCUGAUGCAGCAACGCCGCGUGAACGAUGAAGGUCUUCGGAUCGUAAAGUUCUGUUGCAGGGGAAGAUAAUGACGGUACCCUGUGAGGAAGCCCCGGCUAACUACGUGCCAGCAGCCGCGGUAAUACGUAGGGGGCUAGCGUUAUCCGGAUUUACUGGGCGUAAAGGGUGCGUAGGUGGUCUUUCAAGUCGGUGGUUAAAGGCUACGGCUCAACCGUAGUUAGCCUCCGAAACUGGAAGACUUGAGUGCAGGAGAGGAAAGUGGAAUUCCCAGUGUAGCGGUGAAAUGCGUAGAUAUUGGGAGGAACACCAGUAGCGAAGGCGGCUCUCUGGACUGCAACUGACACUGAGGCACGAAAGCGUGGGUAGCAAACAGG